This 281-nucleotide ribosomal RNA is filed under the name Oxyrrhis marina. RNAcentral describes it as "partial Bacterial large subunit ribosomal RNA". It matches the Rfam family "Bacterial large subunit ribosomal RNA", at positions 753 to 1032 of the family's 2925-position model. The record is from RNAcentral. Lineage: Eukaryota; Dinophyceae; Oxyrrhinales; Oxyrrhinaceae.
GGGGUAAUACCUACUGGAGGACCGAACCCACUUAUGUUGAAAAAUGAGGGGAUGACUUGUGGUUAGGGGUGAAAGGCCAAUCAAACUCGGAGAUAGCUGGUUCUCUGCGAAAUCUAUUUAGGUAGAGCGUCAUCCGAAUACCCCGGGGGGUAGAGCACUGGAUGGGUAAUGGGGCCCCACAGGCUUACUGAUCCUAACCAAACUCCGAAUACCCGGGAGUACUAGAUGGCAGACACACGGCGGAUGCUAACGUCCGUCGUGGAGAGGGAAACAACCCUGAC